Molecule: ribosomal RNA, 450 nt
Filed under: uncultured bacterium
Lineage: Bacteria
Description: bacterial SSU rRNA
Rfam family: Bacterial small subunit ribosomal RNA
Source: RNAcentral
ACUCCAGACUCCUACGGGAGGCAGCAGUGGGGAAUAUUGGGCAAUGGACGCAAGUCUGACCCAGCAACGCCGCGUGAAGGAAGAAGGCUUUCGGGUUGUAAACUUCUUUUAAGGGGGAAGAGCAGAAGACGGUACCCCUUGAAUAAGCCACGGCUAACUACGUGCCAGCAGCCGCGGUAAUACGUAGGGGGCAAGCGUUAUCCGGAAUUACUGGGUGUAAAGGGAGCGUAGACGGUAAUGCAAGUCUGGAGUGAAAGGCGGGGGCCCAACCCCCGGACUGCUCUGGAAACUGUGUAACUGGAGUGCAGGAGAGGCAGGCGGAAUUCCUAGUGUAGCGGUGAAAUGCGUAGAUAUUAGGAGGAACACCAGUGGCGAAGGCGGCCUGCUGGACUGUAACUGACGUUGAGGCUCGAAAGCGUGGGGAGCAAACAGGAUUAGAUACCCGUGUAU